This 253-nucleotide ribosomal RNA is filed under the name uncultured bacterium. RNAcentral's name for it is "partial 16S ribosomal RNA". It matches the Rfam family "Bacterial small subunit ribosomal RNA", at positions 524 to 776 of the family's 1533-position model. The record is from RNAcentral.
UACGGGGGGGGCAAGCGUUGUUCGGAAUUACUGGGCGUAAAGGGCGCGUAGGCGGCACUGUUAGUCAGGCGUGAAAGUCCUGGGCUCAACCUGGGAACUGCGCUUGAUACGGCAGAGCUAGAGGAUGGAAGAGGGUCGCGGAAUUCCCAGUGUAGAGGUGAAAUUCGUAGAUAUUGGGAAGAACACCGGUGGCGAAGGCGGCGACCUGGUCCAUUACUGACGCUGAGGCGCGACAGCGUGGGGAGCAAACAGG